AUUCAAAUAGCUUAUAUUUAGAGUAUGACAUUGAAGAUGUUAUGGAGACUAGAAUAGUCUUUGAAUA
This 67-nucleotide transfer RNA is filed under the name Chromatomyia horticola (garden pea leafminer). RNAcentral's name for it is "tRNA-Phe". Lineage: Eukaryota; Metazoa; Arthropoda; Insecta; Diptera; Agromyzidae. The record is from RNAcentral.